AGAGCAUACUGAGAGCAUCCAUGAGGAAGAGGAACACCACGGGGCAGAUGGACAUUCUGGCUGGGAAAUAGCAGUUCUUUGCUAGGACAGAAAGUGCUAGUCUGCAUACUUCGGUAUAUUUCGGACCUUGGUUAUCUUUGGCUUCUUCAGGGCACGUGCCUGGUACUGAGAUUGCUGGUCAGGUGACAAACAGGUGGCUCAUGUGGCAUCCUCCUGCAAAUCCUCCACAGAGGGUCCAUCCAACAGAUGGAGGGAAUUCUUUGGGAUUUCUUGAAAUCCUAUGCCGCACUGGUAUUCAAACAUCUUAUCCAGUGGUUACUCUUUGCUCUGGCUAUAUGUCCUCAAAAUUAGAUGGCCUGUAGCACAGAUCUCCUGUGUAUGCUUGAUCUAGUCCAGAAGCUCUCUCCACCUUUGUUUUCCUUUUCACUACUUCUAUUUUCUCUUGUAGCACAUUAGAUGUUAGAGUACAAUUGUAGUGCUUUUACUGUCAAUGAAGGAGGAAAGUUUACUAUAGGAAUCUUGGCAUAUCUUUCCCACUUUUUCAGUUGUAUGUUCUUCUCUAGUUCUAUUCUUAAAUGCUCGCAGGGUGAACUGGCUUAGUUGGGUCUCUUUGCUGCAUUUCUUUAAAGCUGUUUUUCUCUCCACUGAUUCUUGUUGUUCUAUGAGGUGAUACUGCUCAUUAUCCCCUACCAGAUUUUCCAUAAGAUCUUAAACACAAGUUUAUAUUCCAAAUCAGUGCUAAGCUCAACUGUUACAUGUUUCUAUUUAGCAAGGAGAUCAAGUGUUGGUUGGAUGAAGUCGUUUCUCAGCUCUCCUAGUAGUGAUAAUUGAUUAACAUCAGCUAAAUUUCUAUGAGAAAUGAUGAUGGUCUGUGUUGAUAGUUAUUUUUUUAUACAUUUCUCAUUUUUGGCAUCAAAAGUUUGUUUAAAUA
Long non-coding RNA from Vombatus ursinus (common wombat), 931 nucleotides. RefSeq lists it as uncharacterized. Lineage: Eukaryota; Metazoa; Chordata; Mammalia; Diprotodontia; Vombatidae. The transcript is spliced from 3 exons. The record is from RefSeq and is a predicted model, not a curated record.